GACGAACGCUGGCGGCGUGCCUAAUACAUGCAAGUAGAACGCUGAAGGAAGGAGCUUGCUCUUUCUGGAUGAGUUGCGAACGGGUGAGCAACGCGUAGGUAACCUGCCUGGUAGCGGGGGAUAACUAUUGGAAACGAUAGCUAAUACCGCAUAAAAUUGAUUAUUGCAUGAUAGUCAAUUAAAAGGUGCAACUGCACCACUACCAGAUGGACCUGCGUUGUAUUAGCUAGUUGGUGGGGUAACGGCUCACCAAGGCGACGAUACAUAGCCGACCUGAGAGGGUGAUCGGCCACACUGGGACUGAGACACGGCCCAGACUCCUACGGGAGGCAGCAGUAGGGAAUCUUCGGCAAUGGACGGAAGUCUGACCGAGCAACGCCGCGUGAGUGAAGAAGGUUUUCGGAUCGUAAAGCUCUGUUGUAAGAGAAGAACGAGUGUGAGAGUGGAAAGUUCACACUGUGACGGUAUCUUACCAGAAAGGGACGGCUAACUACGUG
Molecule: ribosomal RNA, 497 nt
Filed under: uncultured bacterium
Lineage: Bacteria
Description: partial 16S ribosomal RNA
Rfam family: Bacterial small subunit ribosomal RNA
Source: RNAcentral